Molecule: long non-coding RNA, 1272 nt
Filed under: Homo sapiens (human)
Lineage: Eukaryota; Metazoa; Chordata; Mammalia; Primates; Hominidae
Description: HSALNT0217343
Source: RNAcentral
GCAGCCUAGCCUGCGGGGCCUGCCGCAGUGGAGGUGGGGGUGGCAGGUAGCUGCGCUGGGGGUGCCUGCGGGCCCUGGGGAACCUGCGGAGGAGCCCUUAUAACUUGAGACUGGAUUUGCAGGAUCAGAGGCUGAGCCUGCGGGGCCCAAGAAGCCAUCGGCUGUGCAGGUGGGGCCAUCGGCUGUGCAGGUGGGGCCGCCGGCUGUGCCAUCGGUGCUCCUGAAGCUGGAGGCUGGGUCAUCGGAGCUCUCGCACCUGGAGGAUGAAUCAUCAGGACUCCUGGACCUGGAGGCUUGGCCAUCGGUGCUCCUGAAGGCUGAGGCUGGGUCAUCAUGGCUGCUGGAGGCGGCUGGACCAUCGGUGCUCCCGGAGCAGCAGGCUGGACCAUCAGGACUCCCGGAGUCAGAGGCUGGGCCAUCAGGACUCCCGGAGCUGGAGGCUGGGCCAUCGGUGUACCCGGAGGGGGAGGAUGAGCCAUCGGUGUCCCCGGAGGUGGAGGAUGAGCCAUCGGUGUCCCCGGAGGGGGAGGAUGAGCCAUCGGUGUCCCCGGAGGGGGAGGAUGAGCCAUCGGGGUCCCCGGAGGAGGAGGAUGCACCAUCGGGGUCCCCGGAGGAGGAGGAUGGGCCAUCGGGGUCCCCGGAGGAGGAGGAUGGGCCAUUGGGGUCCCCGGAGGGGGAGGGUGGGACAUUGGGGUCCCCGGAGGAGGAGGAUGGGCCAUGGGAGCUCCGGGAGCUGAAGGAUGCACCAUCAGGACUCCCGGGGUCGGAGGCUGGGCCAUCGGGGCUCCCGGAGGUGGAGGAUGCACCAUCAGGACCCCGGGAGUCGGAGGCUUACCCAUCGGGCCCCCCAGCGGGGGAGCCGGGACUAUCGGGCCCCCUAGGGCAGGAGGCUGGGUCAUCGGAACCACCGGGGCGGGCAGCUGGCCCUGUGGGGCCUCCCAGGCAGGCUGAGGUGCCUGCCAAGCGGCCAAUGAAGCCUGCAAGUCAAUUGGAGGUGGAUCCCAAGGGACUGGCGGAGCCCGGGAGGAAGCGGGCGGGGCCCGCAUCAGAACCGUAGGGCGGCUAUAGACAGGCGGCUUCGGGGCCUCCGCCGGAGGACUCGAGUCACCCAGAUUCUUACUUAGCUGCGACAUGUCCCUUUGCUGACAGCUGGUGGGUCUUUUCCUCGGACAGCUGCUGGGCCUUUUCCUCCAGAGAGAAGAGAAUGCCUACGUGGCUGUUCAGAGGCUCCCUCCCUGCUGAAUGCUGAAUAGGAAGUGAGUGCUGCUCGCU